UCCUUGGUGGUCUAGCGGCUAAGACUCUGCGCUCCCAGUACAAGGAGCCUGGGUUUGAUCCCCAGUCAGGGAA
This 73-nucleotide transfer RNA is filed under the name Bos taurus (domestic cattle). RNAcentral also lists the same sequence under 1 other name. The record is from Rfam by way of RNAcentral. Lineage: Eukaryota; Metazoa; Chordata; Mammalia; Artiodactyla; Bovidae.